Molecule: ribosomal RNA, 426 nt
Filed under: uncultured bacterium
Lineage: Bacteria
Description: bacterial SSU rRNA
Rfam family: Bacterial small subunit ribosomal RNA
Source: RNAcentral
UCGAGAAUCUUCGGCAAUGGGCGCAAGCCUGACCGAGCGACGCCGCGUGCGGGACGAAGGCCUUCGGGUUGUAAACCGCUGUCAGAGAGGCGGAAAUGCCUAGGGGUUCACCCCUAGGUUUGACCUAAUCUCAGAGGAAGCACGGGCUAAGUUCGUGCCAGCAGCCGCGGUAACACGAACCGUGCGAACGUUAUUCGGAAUUACUGGGCUUAAAGAGUUCGUAGGCGGCGUGUUAAGUUGGGUGUGAAAUCCCUUGGCUCAACCAAGGAAUUGCGCUCAAAACUAGCAUGCUUGAGGAAGACAGGGGUAAGCGGAACUGAUGGUGGAGCGGUGAAAUGCGUAGAUAUCAUCAGGAACACCGGUGGCGAAGGCGGCUUACUGGGUCUUUUCUGACGCUGAGGAACGAAAGCUAGGGGAGCGAACGGG